Molecule: microRNA precursor, 97 nt
Filed under: Trypanosoma congolense IL3000
Lineage: Eukaryota; Euglenozoa; Kinetoplastea; Trypanosomatida; Trypanosomatidae
Source: RNAcentral
ACGAUACAAAGCAAGGAUGAAAGUAAGAAAGGUGGACGACAGCGGGCAUAAUUUUCUGCUCUUUUCUUUCUUUCUUUCUUUCUUUCUUUUGUUUCGU